Haplochromis burtoni (Burton's mouthbrooder) is the source of this 1078-nucleotide long non-coding RNA. RefSeq lists it as uncharacterized. The transcript is spliced from 2 exons. The record is from RefSeq and is a predicted model, not a curated record. NCBI's taxonomy places the organism in Eukaryota, Metazoa, Chordata, Actinopteri, Cichliformes, Cichlidae.
UAUUCUUUGGCGUCCUGUUAGUGGCAGCUUUGUUAUACGCCUUCCUGGUCAAAUCUGAGUCCUUCCAGGAAUGCUUCGGUGGGGAAGAAACCGAAGAUGAUAUGAUCACUAUUGUAUCAACGGAGCAAAAGAAGAAAUCAAGUCAGGAUGUGACAGACUGAAAAUAGAUACACAAACUGUUUCUAUUUUGUUACCAGGCUAACUAAAGUGAGAGCUGGACUGAGCCAUGGUCUGGAGAUAAUGCUGUUGCAAAUGUUUAAAAUCAAUACUUUUACUGAAAGUGCUCAUAGAUAUGACGAGACAAUCUGUUCCUACACUUUGAUCUGUUCAAUUUAGAUGCUUUGAAUAAUUUCUUCUCACGCUUUAAAUUAUUCGUGACCACAAGCCAAAUAAAUCUUGCUUACUUACUUAAAAUUAGUGUAUGUAUGUGUGUAGAGAAAAGAAAAACCAGGCAGACAAAGAGCAAUGAGCUCAUUUACAUCUAAAUAAGUCGUUCUCUUAGCUUGAAAAACAACACUGGCAUUUUAUAGCUGUUUUAUUUUGGAAAUAUUAUAAUUCCACAUUUAUGCAGUGCAACGACGCAAAAAUCACCUGUACCAAUUCUGAUUCCUUAUUGAAAGGACGAUGUGAUUUUUUUUUCAUAAGUGACGCUAAUUAUCAAAGACUAUGGGAAAAAAAUCAUUACAAUCACAUGAUCAUUAAAAUCUAAUUAUAAUAAACAUACAGGCCACUUAAACUUGAAAUUGUGAUUACAAGUAAUUUAGUAUCACUUGCUGAUUUUGAAUCUGUAAACAUGUUUUCAUCUCAGCUGCAGGUGGAAGGAAAAGGAAAGAAAUGACGGUGCAUUGUAGCCAGUCGGUGCCAUGUUUUACUACAUGGCACUGACAUUUUUCUCUCUCUACUCCAUUUAUGCCUGCUCACUAAUGCAGGAACUACAUGUGCUUUUAACAGUAGGUCAGUUUGUCCACUUGAGGGAAGCACUUACUCUGAGGAAAAGCUGAUCAUCAAAGAAUGACUGUGAAUAAAAACUCUUAGUCAACAUAAUUUGCAUAUGCUAAUAAAUUAAAAGUACACUGAA